AAAAAAUUUAUGUUUUCCUUCGUUCCACUCAUCAUCCCAGUUAGGCUUGGCUGCAGCGGUCCUCAGACCCUCCUUUUCAGCAGUUGCCCCUCUGGUUCAGGGAGCUCGCGUGUCACUGGCAGUCAGGUCCGCCGUCAGCACUCACUCCCAGCAGUGUCGGGGAGAAGAUAAAGUGUCUGGGACUGCAGUGCUCUGAGGAUCUCUUCCCACUGCGUUAGUGUACAUGGCACCGACAGCUUGUCUAGGCUAAAGUAUCCAUAGUUCCUUCCUUCCUUCAACAACCAGUUACUAAAUGUGAACGUUACAAGUUCCUCGAGGGCGAAUCCUCAUAACUCAGCAAAUAUUUAUUAGUUGCUGAAUUCCUGGGUGCUGGGGUGAGAGCAUUUAAAUAAGGAAAGGGAACCUGCCCGCAGGCCACUUCCCCAAUAGUGAUUGAUAGGCAACUGACAUGUAACAAACAAGACCUUUCACCUCUGAACCUGUGACGUGAUAGACAGUGACCUGAACUGGUAGGGAUGGUGAGUUGUGCCCUGGAAGAUGCCUGCCAUGUGAAGAUCUAGGAAAAGAACAUCCCUGGCUGAAGAGAGAGCAGAUGCAAAGGCCCCUGAGAGGGAACCAGCUCAGAGGCUUUGAACAGCAGAAGAACCCCUUUCCAGUGAAGCUGCUUUUUCUCCUGUCAGGAUUGCAGUUUAAAAGAAAGCCUACUUGCCUGAAAUUCCAUGUUGCUAAGCAGCCAUUUCAAAUCCUUUCUGAAGUUAUAUAAAUAUCUAUAUAUAUCACAUGACGAGAUUUAUUAUAAUGAAUUGGCUCACACAAUUAUGGAGGCUGGAAAGUCCAGAAUCUCCACAGCUGAUGUCCCGGUUUGAGUCUGAAGGCCAGAAGCUGCUAUAGAGCUGGGAAGAGCUGCUGUCCAGUGCAAAGCCCAUCAGGCAGGAGAAUUCUCUCUCCCUUGGGGGAGGUCAGCCUGUUGUUCUAAUCAGGCCUUUGACUGUUUGGACGAGGCCCACUCACCUUAGGGAGGGCAGUCUGCUUUACUCAAGUCCACCAAUUUAACUAUUAAUCUCAUCCAAAUAUGUCCUCACAGAAACACCCAGAAUAACAUUUGACCAAGUAUCUGGGCACCUGCUGGUCCAGUCUAGUUGAUGCAUGUAGUUAACCCGUCACAGGCAGCUCUUGCUUUCUCAGGAACUACACACACCUGGGCUUGGGCUGCUUUGUUGUUUGAUAUACACAGAAGUUGAACCAAAAGAAAAAGGACUGAAAUCUCAGUUGAGCGCU
RNAcentral lists this long non-coding RNA (1278 nucleotides) under Equus caballus (horse). RNAcentral describes it as "lncRNA (ENSECAG00000051540.1)". Lineage: Eukaryota; Metazoa; Chordata; Mammalia; Perissodactyla; Equidae. The record is from RNAcentral.